Molecule: small RNA, 1058 nt
Filed under: uncultured Pelagibacterales bacterium
Lineage: Bacteria; Pseudomonadati; Pseudomonadota; Alphaproteobacteria; Candidatus Pelagibacterales
Description: bacterial SSU rRNA
Rfam family: Bacterial small subunit ribosomal RNA (bases 1-658)
Source: RNAcentral
CACCGCCUGGGGAGUACGACCGCAAGGUUAAAACUCAAAUGAAUUGACGGGGACCCGCACAAGUAGUGGAGCAUGUGGUUUAAUUCGAAGAUACGCGCAGAACCUUACCAACACUUGACAUGUUCGUCGCGACUCUAAGAGAUUGGAGUCUUCGGUUCGGCCGGACGAAACACAGGUGCUGCAUGGCUGUCGUCAGCUCGUGUCGUGAGAUGUUGGGUUAAGUCCCGCAACGAGCGCAACCCUUACUUUUAGUUGCUACCAUUUAGUUGGGCACUCUAAAAGAACUGCCAGUGAUAAGCUGGAGGAAGGUGGGGAUGACGUCAAGUCCUCAUGGCCCUUAUGUGUUGGGCUACACACGUGCUACAAUGGUACUUACAGUGAGAAGCGAAGAGGCGACUCCAAGCUAAUCCCAAAAAGGUACCUCAGUUCGGAUUGUACUCUGCAACUCGAGUACAUGAAGCUGGAAUUACUAGUAAUCGCGGAUCAGCGCGCCGCGGUGAAUACGUUCCCGGGUCUUGUACACACCGCCCGUCACACCAUGGAAGUUGGUUACACCUUAAGGCAAAGCAUAAAACCUUUGACUACGGUACGAUCAGCGACUGGGGUGAAGUCGUAACAAGGUAGCCGUAGGGGAACCUGCGGCUGGAUCACCUCCUUUCUGAGGAAAUCGAAAAAUAUUAAAAUAAUUAUUUUCGAUUUAAAAAAAAACCGGUAAUGUGACCGUCCUCAUUUCUCUUCUUUUAAUGUCUCUGAGUAUAUGUAAAGGGGCCGGUAGCUCAGGUGGUUAGAGCGCACCCCUGAUAAGGGUGAGGUCGGAAGUUCGAGUCUUCCUCGGCCCACCAAUAUUAAGGGGGAUUAGCUCAGCUGGGAGAGCGCCUGAUUUGCAUUCAGGAGGUCAGCGGUUCGAUCCCGCUAUCCUCCACCAAAAAUUGAGACAUUUAGCUUUUUUAAAUUGUGAAUAUUAUUAUUAUCAAUAUCUAUAUCCGAUUGUUUUCAGAUAUUUUUUUGGAAACAAUCAAAACAAAAAUUUAAUUUAUUACAGAAAAAAUUUUUUUCUG